ACGGCUACCUUGUUACGACUUCACCCCAGUCAUCGGCCACACCGUGGUAAGCGUCCUCCUUGCGGUUAGACUACCUACUUCUGGUGCAACAAAUUCCCAUGGUGUGACGGGCGGUGUGUACAAGGCCCGGGAACGUAUUCACCGCGGCAUUCUGAUCCGCGAUUACUAGCGAUUCCGACUUCAUGGAGUCGAGUUGCAGACUCCAAUCCGGACUACGAUCGGCUUUUUGAGAUUAGCAUCCUAUCGCUAGGUAGCAACCCUUUGUACCGACCAUUGUAGCACGUGUGUAGCCCUGGUCGUAAGGGCCAUGAUGACUUGACGUCGUCCCCGCCUUCCUCCAGUUUGUCACUGGCAGUAUCCUUAAAGUUCCCGGCUUAACCCGCUGGCAAAUAA
This 393-nucleotide ribosomal RNA is filed under the name uncultured bacterium. RNAcentral's name for it is "partial 16S ribosomal RNA". The record is from RNAcentral.